AUGGUUAAUUUAAAAACUAAUUCAUUUAAACGUUUAAAGUCUUGUGUUUAAAUCACAUCAAUGUUAUCUCGCUCACGAAUGAAGAUGCCUUGAGUGACAGCCGCCGAUGCAGCUUUGGAUUGGCAACGUUAAAAAAUAGAGAAAAAGGCGGAACGUAAGAACGAAGAUGGAGCCAUAGCAUACCCAGACUAGGAUUUAUUCUUAGUCGAUAAUGAACUGUCAUAUUCUGAUAAAUCCAUGGUGUGAACAUUCUAUAUCUUUGGGAGUACAGUACGUCACAAUGAUUAAAAGAUGACUGGAUUUUAAUAAAGCUCUAUGUUGCCUAA
This is a non-coding RNA of Ciona intestinalis (vase tunicate), 326 nucleotides long. NCBI's taxonomy places the organism in Eukaryota, Metazoa, Chordata, Ascidiacea, Phlebobranchia, Cionidae. The record is from RefSeq and is a predicted model, not a curated record.